This 253-nucleotide ribosomal RNA is filed under the name uncultured bacterium. Its description in RNAcentral is "partial 16S ribosomal RNA". It matches the Rfam family "Bacterial small subunit ribosomal RNA", at positions 524 to 776 of the family's 1533-position model. The record is from RNAcentral.
UACGGAGGGUGCAAGCGUUAUCCGGAUUCACUGGGUUUAAAGGGUGCGUAGGUGGGUCUGUAAGUCCGUGGUGAAAUCUCCGAGCUUAACUUGGAAACUGCCAUGGAUACUAUAGGUCUUGAAUACUGUGGAGGUCAGCGGAAUAUGUCAUGUAGCGGUGAAAUGCUUAGAUAUGACAUAGAACACCAAUUGCGAAGGCAGCUGGCUACACGAAUAUUGACACUGAUGCACGAAAGCGUGGGGAUCAAACAGG